UCAAUCAACUCAUAUCCAUAUGAAACCUUAUAAAAACUUCUUUUCAUCAUUCACCUACCAUGAUUAUGAAUUUUAGGACUCAGUCUCAUGAACUGCAUAGGACUUCUCCCUAUCUAUCAGGAUUGACAGAUCUAUCUUGGUGCACACCCUAUUCCUAUAAUGGAUCUACUAUAAUCAUCAUACACCGUAAAAUUUCGAAUGCCUAGAUAACCA
This 213-nucleotide long non-coding RNA is filed under the name Elaeis guineensis (African oil palm). RNAcentral's name for it is "long non-coding RNA (EGUI_LNC059491)". The record is from RNAcentral. Lineage: Eukaryota; Viridiplantae; Streptophyta; Magnoliopsida; Arecales; Arecaceae.